This 357-nucleotide ribosomal RNA is filed under the name Pruvotinidae sp. 4 FSB-2019. RNAcentral describes it as "partial large subunit ribosomal RNA". It matches the Rfam family "Bacterial large subunit ribosomal RNA", at positions 1915 to 2521 of the family's 2925-position model. The record is from RNAcentral. Lineage: Eukaryota; Metazoa; Mollusca; Solenogastres; Cavibelonia; Pruvotinidae.
GGACACAUGUAAACGGCCGCAGAAUUUUAACUGUGCUAAGGUAGCAUAAUCACUUGUCACCUAAUUAGUGACUAGUAUGAACGGCUAAACGAUUCUAUACUGUCUCAUUUAUAUAUAAUAUAAUUUAAUAUUAGUGUAAAAAAGCUCUAAUACAAUAAAAAGACAAAAAGACCCUAUAGAGUUUAAUUUUUAGGGUUAAACUUAACACCAACAAAUUUAGUUGGGGCAACUAAGAAACACAUAAAUUUUCUUAACAAAAUAAAUAUAAGCUAUCAUUUAAUAAAUAAAACAAAAUAAAUUACCUUAGGGAUAACAGCAUAAAUUUCUUUGAGAGCCCAAAUCGAAAAGAAAAAUUAU